This 497-nucleotide ribosomal RNA is filed under the name uncultured bacterium. Its description in RNAcentral is "partial 16S ribosomal RNA". It matches the Rfam family "Bacterial small subunit ribosomal RNA", at positions 28 to 507 of the family's 1533-position model. The record is from RNAcentral.
GAUGAACGCUGGCGGCGUGCCUAAUACAUGCAAGUCGAGCGAACAGACGAGGAGCUUGCUCCUCUGACGUUAGCGGCGGACGGGCGAGUAACACGUGGAUAACCUACCUAUAAGACUGGGAUAACUGCGGGAAACCGGAGCUAAUACCGGAUAAUAUAUUGAACCGCAUGGUUCAAUAGUGAAAGACGGUUUUGCUGUCAAUUAUAGAUGGAUCCGCGCCGCAUUAGCUAGUUGGUAAGGUAACGGCUUACCAAGGCAACGAUGCGUAGCCGACCUGAGAGGGUGAUCGGCCUACCUGGAACGCAGACAUGGACCCGACGCCGAGGACAGGCACCAGUAGGGACUAUUCCACAAUUGGUGAAAGCCUGACGGAGCAACUCCGCGUCAGUGAUGAAGGUCUCCGGAGCGUAAUGCACUGUUAUUAGGGAAGAACAAACGUGUUAGAAACUAACGACUUCUUGACUGUACCUACUCAGAAAGCUUCGGCUAACUGCGUG